RNAcentral lists this ribosomal RNA (496 nucleotides) under uncultured bacterium. RNAcentral's name for it is "partial 16S ribosomal RNA". It matches the Rfam family "Bacterial small subunit ribosomal RNA", at positions 28 to 507 of the family's 1533-position model. The record is from RNAcentral.
GAUGAACGCUGGCGGCGUGCCUAAUACAUGCAAGUCGAGCGAACAGACGAGGAGCUUGCUCCUCUGACGUUAGCGGCGGACGGGUGAGUAACACGUGGAUAACCUACCUAUAAGACUGGGAUAACUUCGGGAAACCGGAGCUAAUACCGGAUAAUAUAUUGAACCGCAUGGUUCAAUAGUGAAAGACGGUUUUGCUGUCACUUAUAGAUGGAUCCGCGCCGCAUUAGCUAGUUGGUAAGGUACGGCUUACCAAGGCAACGAUGCGUAGCCGACCUGAGAGGGUGAUCGGCCACACUGGAACUGAGACACGGUCCAGACUCUUACGGGAGGCAGCAGUAGGGAAUCUUCCGCAAUGGGCGAAAGCUUGACGGAGCAACGCCGCGUGAGUGAUGAAGGUCUUCGGAUCGUAAAACUCUGUUAUUAGGGAAGAACAAAUGUGUAAGUAACUAUGCACGUCUUGACGGUACCUAAUCAGAAAGCCACGGCUAACUACGUG